UUUGAGACACUUAGAAUGCACAAUUUAAGUAGCCCAGAAAGAAGGUCUCCCCAGGAGAACAGCCACAUUAGGUUUGCUGUUGUGGAUUUGAUCUAGGAUCCGGCUGCUUCCAAGAGCCGUUCUAUAUACCAAUCAUGGAGAUCAAAGUUAGUCCACAGGACAGGGGUACAAGGAAGAGUACCUAACAGUCUUUUGAAAAUUUUUUUCUACUACCAAUGGGAAAAGAUUAAACAGGAGAUUUUUUUAAAGCCUUUUCGAAAAAGCUACUGGAAAGGAAGAGAUAUGCAACAGUAAGAACAGAGAUAUUGGGGUUCUGUCUUUUCCUUGUGGUGCAUCCUUGAGAAAGUGAUCUAGCUCCUCUAUGCCUCAGUUUCUUCACCUGUAAAAUACAAAUAAUAACAUCUACAUCGCGG
Molecule: long non-coding RNA, 413 nt
Filed under: Fukomys damarensis (Damara mole-rat)
Lineage: Eukaryota; Metazoa; Chordata; Mammalia; Rodentia; Bathyergidae
Description: lncRNA (ENSFDAG00000027172.1)
Source: RNAcentral